GAUGAACGCUGGCGGCGUGCCUAAUACAUGCAAGUCGAGCGAACAGACGAGGAGCUUGCUCCUCUGAUGUUAGCGGCGGACGGGUGAGUAACACGUGGAUAACCUACCUAUAAGACUGGGAUAACUUCGGGAAACCGGAGCUAAUACCGGAUAACAUGUUGAACCGCAUGGUUCAACAGUGAAAGACGGUCUUGCUGUCACUUAUAGAUGGAUCCGCGCCGCAUUAGCUAGUUGGUAAGGUAACGGCUUACCAAGGCAACGAUGCGUAGCCGACCUGAGAGGGUGAUCGGCCACACUGGAACUGAGACACGGUCCAGACUCCUACGGGAGGCAGCAGUAGGGAAUCUUCCGCAAUGGGCGAAAGCCUGACGGAGCAACACCGCGUGAGUGAAGAAGGUCUUCGGAUCGUAAAGCUCUGUUAUUAGGAAAGAACAAAUGUGUAAGUAACUAUGCACGUCUUGACGGUACCUAAUCAGAAAGCCACGGCUAACUACGUG
RNAcentral lists this ribosomal RNA (497 nucleotides) under uncultured bacterium. RNAcentral describes it as "partial 16S ribosomal RNA". It matches the Rfam family "Bacterial small subunit ribosomal RNA", at positions 28 to 507 of the family's 1533-position model. The record is from RNAcentral.